This 90-nucleotide transfer RNA is filed under the name Puniceicoccales bacterium. Its description in RNAcentral is "tRNA-Ser". It matches the Rfam family "tRNA". Rfam says of the family: Transfer RNA (tRNA) molecules are approximately 80 nucleotides in length. Their secondary structure includes four short double-helical elements and three loops (D, anti-codon, and T loops). Lineage: Bacteria; Pseudomonadati; Verrucomicrobiota; Opitutia; Puniceicoccales. The record is from RNAcentral.
GGAGAGAUGGCAGAGUGGACGAUUGUGCCUGACUCGAAAUCAGGUGUGGGGGUAACUCCACCGAGGGUUCGAAUCCCUCUCUCUCCGCCA